This 503-nucleotide ribosomal RNA is filed under the name uncultured bacterium. RNAcentral's name for it is "partial 16S ribosomal RNA". It matches the Rfam family "Bacterial small subunit ribosomal RNA", at positions 30 to 523 of the family's 1533-position model. The record is from RNAcentral.
AUUGAACGCUGGCGGCAGGCUUAACACAUGCAAGUCGAGCGGAGUGAUGGUGCUUGCACUAUCACUUAGCGGCGGACGGGUGAGUAAUGCUUAGGAAUCUGCCUAUUAGUGGGGGACAACAUCUCGAAAGGGAUGCUAAUACCGCAUACGUCCUCCGGGAGAAAGCAGGGGAUCACUUGUGACCUUGCGCUAAUAGAUGAGCCUAAGUCGGCUUAGCUAGUUGGUGGGGUAAAGGCCUACCAAGGCGACGAUCUGUAGCGGGUCUGAGAGGAUGAUCCGCCACACUGGGACUGAGACACGGCCCAGACUCCUACGGGAGGCAGCAGUGGGGAAUAUUGGGCAAUGGGGGCAAGCCUGAUCCAGCCAUGCCGCGUGUGUGAAGAAGGCCUUAUGGUUGUAAAGCACUUUAAGCGAGGAGGAGGCUACUUUAGUUAAUACCUAGAGAUAGUGGACGUUACUCGCAGAAUAAGCACCGGCUAACUCUGUGCCAGCCGCCGCCGUAA